RNAcentral lists this unclassified non-coding RNA (234 nucleotides) under Hevea brasiliensis (rubber tree). Lineage: Eukaryota; Viridiplantae; Streptophyta; Magnoliopsida; Malpighiales; Euphorbiaceae. The record is from RNAcentral.
AUGCGGUUCAAAGUGAGUGCGGUUCAAAGAAAGUGAACUUUGUUUUCUUCAUUUAGAAGGUUUUAUUUUGAGUUUCUUUUGUCAUUCGUCUUUUAUAAGUUAUGUUUGAACACACAAUUGACUUUUGAAUUUUUGUUCUCUAGUGAUAUUGUGGAUUAAUAAUAUAAUGCUACUAUUGAAUAAGUACCCUUUAUUAUUUUUGAUAGUAUGGGCUUAGUGCUUGAUUUUGAUUGU